This 564-nucleotide ribosomal RNA is filed under the name uncultured Nitrosospira sp. RNAcentral describes it as "bacterial SSU rRNA". It matches the Rfam family "Bacterial small subunit ribosomal RNA", at positions 64 to 625 of the family's 1533-position model. Lineage: Bacteria; Pseudomonadati; Pseudomonadota; Betaproteobacteria; Nitrosomonadales; Nitrosomonadaceae. The record is from RNAcentral.
CGACGGCAGCACGGGGGCACCCUGGUGGCGAGUGGCGAACGGGUGAAAUGCAUCGGAACGUGUCUUCGAGUGGGGGAUAACGCACCAAAAGGUGUGCUAAUACCGCAUAAUCUCUACGGAGAAAAGCACGGGAUCGCAAGACCUUGCGCUCUUUGAGCGGCCGAUGUCUGAUUAGCUAGUUGGUGAGGUAAAGGCUUACCAAGGCGACUAUCAGUAGCUGGUCUGACAGGACGACCAGCCACACUGGGACUGACACACGGCCCACACUCCUACUGGAGGCAGCAGUGGGGAAUUUUGGACAAUGGGGGAAACCCUGAUCCAGCCAUGCCACGUGAGUGAAUAAGGCCUUCGGGUUGUAAAGCUCUUUCUGCCGGAACGAAACGGUCACGGCUAAUACCUGUUUCUACUGACGGUACCGGAAGAAGAAGCACCGGCUAACUACGUGCCAUCAGCCGCGGUAAUACGUAUGGUGCAAGCGUUAAUCGGAAUUACUGGGCGUAAAGCGUGCGCAGGCGGUUUUGUAAGUCAGAUGUGACAUCCCCGGGCUUAACCUGCCCAACUGCG